Molecule: transfer RNA, 84 nt
Filed under: Zymobacter palmae
Lineage: Bacteria; Pseudomonadati; Pseudomonadota; Gammaproteobacteria; Oceanospirillales; Halomonadaceae
Description: tRNA-Leu
Rfam family: tRNA
About the family: Transfer RNA (tRNA) molecules are approximately 80 nucleotides in length. Their secondary structure includes four short double-helical elements and three loops (D, anti-codon, and T loops).
Source: RNAcentral
GCCGAGCUGGUGGAAUUGGUAGACACGCAGGUUUUAGGUACCUGUGCCUAUGGUGUGUGGGUUCGAGUCCCACGCUCGGCACCA